Molecule: long non-coding RNA, 3704 nt
Organism: Physeter macrocephalus (sperm whale)
Lineage: Eukaryota; Metazoa; Chordata; Mammalia; Artiodactyla; Physeteridae
Exons: 5
Source: RefSeq, a predicted model, not a curated record
CCCGCACGGGCUUGGAGGGGUCCUCCGCCCCCUUGCCCACCAGCAGGACACGCGAGGCCCCGGGGCGGGCGCUGGACUCCCUCCGGCAUCGCCCGAGGGCCUCUCCGGCCGGGCACCCUAUGCCCCGCCGCGCGCGUUCCCACAGACUUCUGUCCGCUUCCCGGCUUCUCCCGGUUUAUUCCCGGCGGCCGCUGCCGCCUCGGGACACCCAUUUACGCAGCAACACGCAAACCCAUUCUGGCGACUCCGGGGGACCUGAGGAACCGGCGCGGAGAGGUGUAGGACUGAAGACCUUGGCUUUUACUGGCUGUCCACUGGAGACUGCCCUCAAUUCCUAGGUGGCACCUGGCAUUCAUGGGCCAGCAUGGCCACUUACUUCAUCAAGUCAGCAAGGAGAGUCUCCAGAGCAAACCUGCUAGCAAGAUGGAAUCACAUAUAACACAAGAGGAGAAAACUGAAGAUCAGAGAGGUUAGGUGAUUUGCCCAAGGUUUCACAGCUGAAUACCUCCAGGCAGCCAGGAGAAAGUACGGUCUUAUCCACGGUGAAGGGGGAAGACAUUCAGAUCCCAAGAGAGAUGAUUUGUAUACCUUUCGAGGCCAAGAUGAGUGUGCACCUGUGUGGUCAAAUGUAAUCCACAAUGGGGCUCUCACCAGGUUUCAGCCACAGGCAUGAAGGCAACGUUGCUGAAACUACAAGAUAUCUGCAUGGGUCACACCUGCUGCUGCCUCUGGGCCUGCGGUUCCUCACAGGAUUUCGAAGAAGCAUGUCCAUACUGCUUCCAGAUGCAGGUGCUGGAUAAAGCUGGAAUGUAUCUCCAGCCCAAGGCUAAACUGACACCCCAAAAUAUAGACACUUAUUAAUUGAGAAGCAAAAUAAAUAUGCACUCAGGUUUAAAGAAGCAAAAAUUAUGAAGAAGUAGAAAGGCUCCAAAACUAUUUUGUUGAUUACUUGUAAAAUAUGCAUCAGAACACUAACUGGUAAAAUAACGGGAAAAAGAGAAGCAUCCUAUGGACGAUGAGAAACAAUUCUACCACUCCUCAGAUUUAACCCUUGCAGGAAGACACAGAGACUAAAGUUCUGAGUUCUGCAAGUCUGGUUCCAAUGGCAAGAGCCCAGCCUGGUUUUGGAAACACCUACAUCUGGACAGUCAAUACCCAUUUGCUCCUCAAAGGACGUGAGCAAAACAAAGAAACACUUCUCUUAACUAAAAAUGCAGCUUAGUCAGAAAGAAUUCCAAAAGAAUCCAAAGUGGAUUUCAGAAAUUUCUUGUCUCCUCUGUAAAGAAUGGAUUUUGAGAAAUGUCUAAUGCUAUUUCUGAACUAAAGCUAGUCAGUAAAAAAAACUUGUUUGACUUUUAUUUAUUUUCUGAAUACAUGGAAACCAAAUCCAAGAACAAACUUUCCUUGGCAUCCUUGGCAUUUGUGGGAAAUAAAAACCUCACUGGAAUGAAUAACUGAAACCUACCCACCUCAAGUGUUGGUUGUGAGAUCAAAAAAAUAUGUGAAAGUGCUUGUCAGUAGUAAACUCAUAAGCAGGUAUUACUGGUAUUAUUAUUAUUUUCCAUUUUUUCAUCAGUUUUCACCAUUUAUAUCAUUCUCUUUCAAAAGGAAAUUGAGACCUUUAUAAGCGUGUCUACUCAGAAGGACUUCUUCGGGGGGUCUAUAGCCUGACUGCUAAUUCAGAAAACCGGUGUGUCCUUUUUCUCCUACAAACAUCUGCAUAACUGUACAUUAGUGAAACCUGAAGAUUAUCCCUAUUUGGGGUGUAAAAAUAUCCAGGAUAUUCUUAAUUAUAGAUGAUCUAAUAAGAUAAAGAUACAAAUAUAUUUUAACGAAAUUUUCAUUUGGAUAACUUUCUGUUGUUCCUGUAGUAAUAUUUCACCUUAAGAGACAGCUUAAUUUGUUCUAGUACAGACUUAUUUCUGGGUUUAAAAUUAUUUCAAAAUGUUAACUUUUACUUUAGCUAUGUUACAUAUUUACUGGAACAACAUAGGUACAAUUUGGGUUUUUGUUUUCUUGUUUUUUGUUAAUAAGCUAAGAUUGUUUUCCACCUUUCUAUUUAGCUCAUUUAGAUAUGUUGAAGAAAAAUCAGGUUAUGCAUUUUUGGUGGGAAGUGAAGUGAUGUGUCUUUCUCAGCAUCAGGUCCAAAGGUCCAUGGUGCUGGUUUGUCCCAAUAUUCAUGAUAUUCAUUUUGAUUACUAGGGUAAGGAGGUUCCACUAGGUUUUUCCAAUAUAAAGUUGUUAUUUUCCUUUGUAGUUAAUAAAUACAAGGACUGCAAAUGUCUUGUUCUUCAUCAAACUCUCACCUACUAAUUUUAGUAUCUAUUGAUUUCUUGAUUCUGUUUCCUUCCCUUUCCUCCCUUCCUUCUUUCUUUCCUUUAUCUUUCUCUCUCCCCACUACCCACUUUUGUUGGCAUAAGAAAGACCUUUCUUUUCUUCCCCAUUUAUUAAUUGAUUCACUGGUUUAUUUAUAUCAGUAUGGCCUCAUAGAUACUUUUAUUAUUCAAUGGGAUAUAGUCUAUUGUUUUUUGGGGUUUUUUUAAAUUUAUUUAUUUAUUUUUGGCUGUGUUGGGUCUUCGUUUCUGUGCGAGGGCUUUCUCUAGUUGCAGCGAGCGGUGGCCACUCUUCAUCGCAGUGCGCGGGCCUCUCACUGUCGCGGCCUCUCUUGUUGCGGAGCACAGGCUCCAGACGCGCAGGCUCAGUAGCUGUGGCUCACGGGCUCCGUCGCUCCGCGGCAUGUGGCAUCUUCCCAGACCAGGGCUCGAACCCGUGUCCCCUGCAAUGGCAGGCAGAUUCUCAACCACUGCACCACCAGGGAAGCCCUAAUCUAUUGUUUAGUUAUAAAUAACUAUAACUGUAAUCUGUCAAUAGUUAUUUUGACAUUCAGACUCUUCCAGGUUUGGCUAGCAUGAGCCCCUUCAUGCUAACUCCUGUGAAAUUUGACAUGACCCAGUCACUCCUUGAGCACUUGCUUCCCUAACUGCCUCAAUCAGAUGUUCCAGGCUCCCCCUGUACUUUUCCUGUCCCAGCCCUGCAAUCUGUCAUUUCUCCAAGGGGUCCUAGUUCCUUUUAGUGGAAAACACAUAUGUGUUUGUAUAUCUCUGUCUAUUUAUAUAUCUAUUAAAACAUAGGCACAGAUAUUUAUUUUUCUCAAUGCUAAAAACCAUGUUUUCAAACUGAUAACAUGCACUUCCAAUCAAAAACUACAAGCUGUAAUGCAUGCUUCUCACCUUCCAUAUUUGUAGCUCAUUCCUUCCAUUAUUCUCAAUGUCUUUAUUCAUUUCUUCAAGUCUAGAGUACAGAAAAGUUUGGGGACUGCUAACCCGUGCCACCAUGAAAAGCAAACCAGCAAACUAGAGUUAAUUAAUUAUUUACAGUUCUUUUGUUUUGUUUUAGAAAAAAAAAAAGUGUACAUCGUUGCAUGUUCCCAAUGUUGGGGGUAAAGCAACAACUAUGUCAUCAUUAAAUAUGAUGUUACCUUCGGGAUUUUUAUAGAUGCCUUUAUCAGGUUGAGGAGGUUUCCCUCUACUACUGGUUUGCUGAGAGUUCUUAUAUAUAUGGAUGCUGAAUUUUGUAAGAUAUUCUUUCUGCACCUCUUGAGAUGAUUCAAUUUCUCCUUUAUUCUGUUAAUAUGACGUAUUACAUUGAUUGAUAAUUGAACGCUAAAAUUUACAUUUCUAAGAUAAUCCUCAUUUGGUCAAAAU